UACGUAGGGUGCGAGCGUUAAUCGGAAUUACUGGGCGUAAAGCGUGCGCAGGCGGUUUCUUAAGCAAGAUGUGAAAUCCCCGGGCUUAACCUGGGAACUGCAUUUUGAACUGGGAGACUAGAGUGUGUCAGAGGGGGGUGGAAUUCCACGUGUAGCAGUGAAAUGCGUAGAGAUGUGGAGGAACACCGAUGGCGAAGGCAGCCCCCUGGGAUAACACUGACGCUCAUGCACGAAAGCGUGGGGAGCAAACAGGAUUAGAUACCCUGGUAGUCCACGCCCUAAACGAUGACAACUGGUUGUUGGGAGAGCAAUCUCUUAGUAACGAAGCUAACGCGUGAAGUUGACCGCCUGGGGAGUACGGCCGCAAGGUUGAA
RNAcentral lists this ribosomal RNA (374 nucleotides) under uncultured bacterium. Its description in RNAcentral is "bacterial SSU rRNA". It matches the Rfam family "Bacterial small subunit ribosomal RNA", at positions 524 to 898 of the family's 1533-position model. The record is from RNAcentral.